GAUGAACGCUAGCGGCAGGCUUAAUACAUGCAAGUCGUGGGGCAGCAGGUUUGUAGCAAUACAGAUGCUGGCGACCGGCAAACGGGGUGCGGAACACGUACAGAACCUUCCUUUGAGCGGGGAAUAGCCCAGAGAAAUUUGGAUUAAUACCCCAUAGUAUAAUGAAGUGGCAUCACUUUAUUAUUAAAGAUUUAUCACUCGAAGAUGGCUGUGCGGCUGAUUAGGUAGUUGGCGGGGUAAAGGCCCACCAAGCCUGCGAUCAGUAACUGGUGUGAGAGCACGACCAGUCACACGGGCACUGAGACACGGGCCCGACUCCUACGGGAGGCAGCAGUAAGGAAUAUUGGUCAAUGGAGGCAACUCUGAACCAGCCAUGCCGCGUGGAGGAUGAAGGUCCGUCUGGAUUGUAAACUUCUUUAUAUGGACGAAAAAGGCUUUCUAAGUCGUCUGACGGUACCGAUAUGAAUAAG
RNAcentral lists this ribosomal RNA (470 nucleotides) under uncultured bacterium. RNAcentral describes it as "bacterial SSU rRNA". It matches the Rfam family "Bacterial small subunit ribosomal RNA", at positions 28 to 490 of the family's 1533-position model. The record is from RNAcentral.